UUCACUUUACCUAUUUAUGGGUACUUGAUUCACCCAUAUUUGGGUACACCAUUGUUAUGGGUGAAACAUACCGAUAAAAUCAGUAAAGUUCACUUAUAAUGUUGGUGAAACAGCUUUACCUAUAUAUGGGUAAAUUAAUUUACCCAUAUUUGGAUGAAAAACUAAACAUUUGGUUUUGUUCAUAUCACAGAAAAGGUUGGUCGCUAUCGAGGUCGCUAUGAGGAAAGCAAAGCAUAAAGUUGUAGGUAAAUCAACUCGCGGAUAGCUAAUGAAGCUGCAGAUCCUGGAUACGGAGCCUAAAAAUGCGGAAACCACGGCUUAACAGUUACCACUGCUUUGACCAUAGCGGUCAUAUAUACAAGCAGAUUAAGCAACAAUCGUGGAGCCAGAUACCAUUCAACGCUGGAAUCAUCGGUCGACCUUCGCAAGGAAAUAGAAAAUCGCUAUCUCUCAUAUGAUUAAUAUCCGACGGCGUAGUCUCCGGUAUCCACUGUGAAUAACAGGAAGUAAUCAGAUGAGUAGCCGAAUACCAUCUACCAUUACAAUCGCCGGUCGAUCUCCACAAGGAAGCAGGGAUCUCAUAUGCUGCAUGUCCAACAAUACGCCAACGACGGCUUAGCCUCCGGCACCCGUGGAUACUGUGCAAGGCUCGAACAGGAAAUAAUUAGAUGCGUCUCUUAUUGAUAACUGCCCAACGCAAUGGUUUCCAGUGCCUUUCAGAGUACUCUUCCAUAAUUAGAAUAAAUUGUAUUUAUAAGCUUUGAAGAACAUUAAAAUAAAUUUAA
This is a long non-coding RNA of Armigeres subalbatus, 785 nucleotides long. RefSeq lists it as uncharacterized. The record is from RefSeq and is a predicted model, not a curated record. NCBI's taxonomy places the organism in Eukaryota, Metazoa, Arthropoda, Insecta, Diptera, Culicidae. The transcript has 3 exons.